Lathyrus oleraceus (garden pea) is the source of this 1846-nucleotide long non-coding RNA. RefSeq lists it as uncharacterized. The record is from RefSeq and is a predicted model, not a curated record. NCBI's taxonomy places the organism in Eukaryota, Viridiplantae, Streptophyta, Magnoliopsida, Fabales, Fabaceae. The transcript has 4 exons.
UUUUAUUAUGCAAACUAAUGCUUUCCAAUAUCAUUGUUUUAUUUUACUACUCAAUUGAAACAUCAUCAAUAUGUCUUGCUAACAUUCUUUCUUUAUAUUGAUUUGUUAUGUUUUAGACGUUAUUAGAGUUCUGCAAGAUGUUGUGGAAACACAAUGGUCGGUGGUGGUAAGAAAUCAUGCGUCAAUAUCACUCUACAUGAUGAAAUUGGUAAUGUUAUUAAAGUUACCUUAUGGGGAGAGUUUAGCAAAUAGUUAAUGAACUAUAACAGCUCAAACAUCAGUACAGGUCCAACAAUUAUUAUCUUAACAUGUGCGUGGUGAAAUAAAAAUACAAGUUUGCCACAUUAUAUCAAUCAUCAUUCUCAUUGCUUUAUGAUUUCUGUUUUUAAGUUGUACUCUUACUAUAGCUCUCAAUCUAUGGUGCAACAUUUAGAUUACCAAGCCUUUCUAAUGCUUAGUCCGACUUUCGACUUCACAUAAAUUUAGACCAUCCCCAAGUUUAGACCUUUAUAUCCAAGUAUGACACUUUUAGUUUUAUGAUUGCGAUUCUUCAUACUUCUCAUAUAUUCAUAUGCUUCAUGUUCAGAAAAUGACUUUUUCUUUUUCAAUGAAUGAAUAUAGUUUAGGAUCAACACAAAUUUCUCAUGCACCGUCUCAAUCUCAGACCCACACUUCAGAAUUAAUUGCACAAUCUACUGACAAAAAAUGGACUAAGUUGAAUGAGCUCAAGACUAUUCGUGAAAUCAAUGAAUUGAGAAAGAUAUGUUCUAUUUGUUUCUUACCAUUUCUCAUAACCUUAUUAAUCCAUUGACUGAGUUUCUGCAAUUUAAUAAAAGGAGUGCUUCACCAUAAUGAUUGGCACUACCAAAACAUUCAAAGCGUCCAAAUUUGGAUGAUAUCAUGAGACUUUCCCGACUUACAAAUUAUCUAACAAGUCCCCUGGGGUCAAAUUCGAAUGUACACGUGGAGUGAAAGAUGUCGAACCAAUAACUAAGUGAGCUUUCAUUUCUCCAUACUUCUUUGCCCUCUUUUAUGCAUAUUUGAUGUACUUCCAAACUUAAUUAUUUAUUUCCUUUGUGUAUUAUAUACAAAAUAGAAAUUGAGGUUGAGUUUUAUAACCAUGUUUGAUGCUUUGUGUUUUGAGAUAAGGAUUGUAUCCUAUUCCUUGAAGUGAUUGCAAGAGAAUUAAGACAGCUCAUGAAGGCGUCUGGAGAGGAUCACCCUAAAAUAUAUAUGUAACACCUUGACAAACUAUUGAACAAAGAUCUAGCAUUUCGAAUCAAGUAUCAACCUUUUUUCCAACAAUGCUCAAUUGUGACGAUCAUUAAGGAUGUUGAUGUUAUCAAAACCUUUAACGAUUAUAUUAACCCAAAUGAGCAUACAUCACAUGCUGCUGAAUUGGAGAAGGGAACAUUUAUUCCAAUUGACAUUCAAUAUCUACCAAUUAUGAGCCAAUCUGCUGAACAAACCUUCUCUGCACAACUAGGCACAUUUUCUAACCAAGUUUGGAGUCCAUCAACCAGCUUCAACAACACCCCUUGCUAAGAGGGUUUCUAUUUCAACUGCACUUGAUGAUAUUUUUCAAUAUGAAUUCCUAACUCUAAUGCAAUGUGCCACUAAAGUGAAGCACCUUAAGUAGGAGUGAUCAUGUGGCUAUAGAUUUGCAAGUCUCACUUUUUGCUGCAUUAUAAUAGUUUGUUUACACCAUAUAUGUAAGGAUUAAUUCCAACUUCCUAUGACACUAUUAUGGUAUCGUUUUACAAAAUGUUUUUCUUUGCAAUAUAACUUUAACAAAGCAACUCAUGAAUUAAGUGUUCUGUAAUGAUGCUUGAAAGUUUAAUGGUUC